RNAcentral lists this unclassified non-coding RNA (835 nucleotides) under Hevea brasiliensis (rubber tree). Lineage: Eukaryota; Viridiplantae; Streptophyta; Magnoliopsida; Malpighiales; Euphorbiaceae. The record is from RNAcentral.
GGUUCUCAUCACUGAAUAUUUCAGGAUCAUAAACAUACUCUAAGUAAGACUUUGAUGACCAAUAUUCACUUCUUUUGAUGUCACUCUUCUUAUCUUCCUCUCCCUUUCCUUCUUCACCAUCUUUCUUUUCUCCUUCUUCCUUCUUCUCCUCUUCUUUCUUCUCUUCUUCCUUCUUCUCUUCAUCUUUCACUAUGGAUGCUUGCUUUCUAGUCUUCUUAUACACAUCAUCAACUAGCUUUGUCGGAUCGACCACGCCCUUUACUAUUACUUGACUAUUAGCUAGAUCCGUUUCAACCGAUUCUACACCUUGGAUCUUUCGAACUCGCUUUUGUAAAACUUGAGCACAUGCUUCGCAAUGCAUUCGAACGCUCAAUACAACUGUUACUACAGCAGGAGGCUCCUCCUUUUUCUCUUCCUUUGGUGCUUCUUCUUUGUUUUCUUGCUUGUUUUCUUCUUGUGGCUUUGGCAAAGGUGAAAUUAACUCCACUUUCCUUCCACUUUUCUUUUGCAGCCUCUCACAUACCUUUACAGGGUCUGCUGCUUUGCCUUUCACCACCACCUUGCUAGCUUUGCUAUCUGUGGUUACCUCCUCCACUCCUUCAAAUCCUUUCAAGGCUCUAGCAACUUUUCUUGCACAAGCUUCACAAUGCAUAUCAACCUUAAGUACAAUCUCAGCAGGCUCUUCCUCUUUCUUCUCCUCCUCCUUCACUUCCUCUUUCUUUUCUUCCUCUUUCUUCUCUUCUCCCAUUUUUGUAGCUCAAGAGCUUUAGUAGGAAAUGUAAUUGGUUUUCAGAGCUCUUGUUGCUUCUGCUUUCUCUCUCUCUCUCUCUCUCUC